AGAGUUUGAUCCUGGCUCAGAAUCAACGCUGGCGGCGUGCCUAACACAUGCAAGUCGAACGAGAAAGUCCGUAGCAAUACGGAUGAGUAAAGUGGCGCCCGGGUGAGUAACACGUGGAUAACCUGCCUUCGAGUGGGGAAUAACCCUGGGAAACCGGGGCUAAUACCGCAUAACACCUAGCGGCUGCGGCCGCAGGGUUAAAACCUGGAAACGGGGCUUGAAGAGGGGUCCGCGCCCGAUUAGCUAGUUGGUGAGGUAACGGCUCACCAAGGCUGUGAUCGGUAGCCGGCCUGAGAGGGCGGUCGGCCACACUGGAACUGACAUACGGUCCAGACUCCUACGGGAGGCAGCAGUGGGGAAUUUUGCGCAAUGGGGGAAACCCUGACGCAGCAACGCCGCGUGGAUGAUGAAGCCCCUUGGGGUGUAAAAUCCUUUCGGCAGGGACGAAAUUUGACGGUACCUAAGAGCCC
RNAcentral lists this ribosomal RNA (470 nucleotides) under uncultured Acidobacteriaceae bacterium. RNAcentral describes it as "bacterial SSU rRNA". It matches the Rfam family "Bacterial small subunit ribosomal RNA", at positions 8 to 492 of the family's 1533-position model. Lineage: Bacteria; Pseudomonadati; Acidobacteriota; Terriglobia; Terriglobales; Acidobacteriaceae. The record is from RNAcentral.